RNAcentral lists this ribosomal RNA (1287 nucleotides) under metagenome. RNAcentral's name for it is "bacterial SSU rRNA". It matches the Rfam family "Bacterial small subunit ribosomal RNA", at positions 209 to 1487 of the family's 1533-position model. The record is from RNAcentral.
GGCCUUGCGCUCUUUGAGCGGCCGAUGUCAGAUUAGCUAGUUGGUGAGGUAAAGGCUUACCAAGGCGACGAUCUGUAGCGGGUCUGAGAGGAUGAUCCGCCACACUGGAACUGAGACACGGUCCAGACUCCUACGGGAGGCAGCAGUGGGGAAUUUUGGACAAUGGGGGCAACCCUGAUCCAGCCAUGCCGCGUGAGUGAAGAAGGCCUUCGGGUUGUAAAGCUCUUUCGGCCGGGAAGAAAUCGCAUGGGCCAAUACCCUGUGUGGAUGACGGUACCGGAAUAAGAAGCACCGGCUAACUACGUACCAGCAGCCGCGGUAAUACGUAGGGUGCGAGCGUUAAUCGGAAUUACUGGGCGUAAAGCGUGCGCAGGCGGUUUUGUAAGACAGGCGUGAAAUCCCCGGGCUUAACCUGGGGACUGCGUUUGUGACUGCAAGGCUAGAGUACGGCAGAGGGGGGUGGAAUUCCACGUGUAGCAGUGAAAUGCGUAGAGAUGUGGAGGAACACCAAUGGCGAAGGCAGCCCCCUGGGUCGAUACUGACGCUCAUGCACGAAAGCGUGGGUAGCAAACAGGAUUAGAUACCCUGGUAGUCCACGCCCUAAACUAUGUCAACUAGGUGUUGGGUGGGUAAAACCAUUUAGUACCGUAGCUAACGCGUGAAGUUGACCGCCUGGGGAGUACGGCCGCGAGGUUAAAACUCAAAGGAAUUGACGGGGACCCGCACAAGCGGUGGAUGAUGUGGAUUAAUUCGAUGCAACGCGAAAAACCUUACCUACCCUUGACAUGCCAGGAACUUGCCAGAGAUGGCUUGGUGCCCGAAAGGGAGCCUGGACACAGGUGCUGCAUGGCUGUCGUCAGCUCGUGUCGUGAGAUGUUGGGUUAAGUCCCGCAACGAGCGCAACCCUUGUCGUUAAUUGCCAUCAUUUAGUUGGGCACUUUAACGAGACUGCCGGUGACAAACCGGAGGAAGGUGGGGAUGACGUCAAGUCCUCAUGGCCCUUAUGGGUAGGGCUUCACACGUCAUACAAUGGUCGGUACAAAGGGUUGCCAAGCCGCGAGGCGGAGCCAAUCCCAGAAAGCCGAUCGUAGUCCGGAUUGCAGGCUGCAACUCGCCUGCAUGAAGUCGGAAUCGCUAGUAAUCGUGGAUCAGCAUGUCACGGUGAAUACGUUCCCGGGUCUUGUACACACCGCCCGUCACACCAUGGGAGCGGGUUCCGCCAGAAGUAGGUAGCCUAACCGCAAGGGGGGCGCUUACCACGGCGGGGUUCGUGACUGGGGUGAAGUC